This 364-nucleotide ribosomal RNA is filed under the name Streptococcus iniae. RNAcentral's name for it is "bacterial SSU rRNA". It matches the Rfam family "Bacterial small subunit ribosomal RNA", at positions 1024 to 1386 of the family's 1533-position model. Lineage: Bacteria; Bacillati; Bacillota; Bacilli; Lactobacillales; Streptococcaceae. The record is from RNAcentral.
UGGGUGGGAUACAGGUGGGGCAUGGUUGUGGUCAGCUCGUGUCGUGAGAUGAGAGGUUAAGUCAAGCAACGAGCGCAACCCUCCCUUUAUGUUGCCAGCCCGUUAUGGUGGGGACUCAUAGGAGACCGCCGGGGUCAACUAGGAGGAAGGUGGGGGAGACGUCAAAUAAUCAUGCCCCCCAUGUCGUGGGGGUCACGCAUGUUACAAUGGCCGGUACAGAGGGUUGCGAUAAUGUGAGGAGGAGAUAAUCCUUAAAAGCCGGUAUCAGUUCGGAUUGGGGUGUGCAACUCGACCCCAUGAAGUCGGAGUCGCUAGUAAUCGCAGAUCAGCAACGAGGGGGUGAAUAAUUCCCCGGCCUUUACAC